Non-coding RNA from Drosophila melanogaster (fruit fly), 888 nucleotides. NCBI's taxonomy places the organism in Eukaryota, Metazoa, Arthropoda, Insecta, Diptera, Drosophilidae. The record is from Ensembl.
UCUUUAGGCAUAAGUGUAUCUGCUUUAGUUGAACUUCACUUAGCGGCACACACAAGUUUGCACUUAGUUCGAUGACUCGACGCGUGGUCUCUUGUAUCUUUGGGAUUCGGAUUGAUCGCUAGCAGAUUGCGAAUGGCGAAUUGCGAGUUGGGUUUACGGAUUCGAUUGAAUAUUGCGAUUGCAUUCAGCGACAAUUCAAUUAGUGCAAUAACCGGCGCGUUCGGCAGCGAAAUUGCUCACCUGUGUUCAGGUGGAGCGGAGCGCACAGAAUGAAUUGAAUCAAUGGGACAGCGCGAAAGACCGCCAUGGAAAUCGAAAUAACAGACCCCCAACACAAUACAAUACAAGCAAAUAAUACUCACACACUCGGGAACUGAAAUUGAAAUCUACGAAAAACGAAACGAAGCGAAAAAGCCCGAACAGAAACAGAAAGAAAAAAGCGAAGCAGCGUACUCAACUGAACUCGGCUAAAAUGAAUCGAAUAGAGUCAUCGACAACGACGGGAUUGGGCUUAUUGGCCGCGUUGUGUUGCCAAUUCGGACUGAUUAGCGUUUCUUGGCGGCUCACUGCAGGUGUCUGCCAGCCGUCUGAGCGGCUAACAGCGCUGUUAGCAACACAACAGCACAGUGGGCCAUAAAAGCGAUUUGACGAGCCUAAUCAAAUAAUAAAACACCAUACAUAUAUGUUUACUACUUCCGCGAGCUGUCCAAAAAAUAAAUAUAUAACUAUAUCACCGCUCUCAUACUACCAAUCACUGUGUUAUGCAAUCAGAGGUAAUGUAACUGAAUGCAAUAGCUACAUAGAGACAAUUAACAAUGAUUUUCUAAUGCUAUCAAAAGAGCACCUAUUUUGCAUUAACUUAGAUACACAAAACACGAAAAUGUAAUU